UACGGAGGGUGCAAGCGUUAUCCGGAUUUACUGGGUUUAAAGGGUGUGUAGGCGGGCUAUUAAGUCAGCGGUGAAAUCUCCGGGCUCAACCCGGAAACUGCCAUUGAUACUAUUAGUCUUGAAUUUUGUUGAGGUAGGCGGAAUAAGUCAUGUAGCGGUGAAAUGCGUAGAUAUCGUAAGGAAGACCAGUGGCGAAGGCGGGUCUCUGGACAGUUCCUGACGCUGAGGCACGAAGGUCAGGGGAGCAAACGGG
RNAcentral lists this ribosomal RNA (253 nucleotides) under uncultured bacterium. RNAcentral describes it as "partial 16S ribosomal RNA". It matches the Rfam family "Bacterial small subunit ribosomal RNA", at positions 524 to 776 of the family's 1533-position model. The record is from RNAcentral.